AUUAAUAAUUAAUAUAUUUAAUAAAAAUAAUUUUAAUUUAAUAAAUAUUUUAAUGGGGGUUAAAGUAUUUUUUAAAGAAAAAAUUUUUAAAUUUAUAGUUAAUUAGUAUUGUGAAAGAAUUUUGAAAUAUUAUGAAAAAUAAAAUUUUUAGAAAGUAAUUUUUAUUUAUUGUAUCUUGUGUAUCAGAGUUUAUUAAAAAUUUUUAAUUUAUAAAUUAAUUUCUCGAAUUUAAAAGAGUUAAAUAAUUAUUAAAGUUAUUGUAGCAAAAUUAUUUUAAAUAAUUAUUUAGAAAUGAAAUGUUAAUCGUUUUUAAAUAUAUCUAGUUUUUAUAGAAAAAAAUUUAAUUUUAAAUUUAAAAAUUAUUUAAUUAAUUUAUUAAUUAAAUAAUUAUUUAAAUUUUAUAAUUUAAGGGAUAAGCUUUAAAUUAAAUUUUUAUAAUAUUAAAUUUUUAUUUUGAAAAUUUUAUAAUUUAUAUUGUUAAUAAAUUUUAUUUUGUUAUAAAUAAUUUCAUUUUUUUUAAAAUUUAAAUUUUAUUUAAUUUUUUAUAUAAAAUUUAUUUAUAAUUAUAUAAAGUUAAUUAUAAUGAUAAAAUUAGUAUAUUAUUUAAUAUUAAAUUAAAAUUAAUUUUUGAUUAAUAAUUAAAUUAAUUAAAAGGAAUUCGGCAAAUAUUUAUUUUCACUUGUUUAUCAAAAACAUGUCUUUUUGUUAUUUAAUUUAAAGUCUAAUCUGCCCACUGAUUUAUAAAAAUUGAAGGGCUGCAGUAUAUUGACUGUACAAAGGUAGCAUAAUCAUUAGUCUCUUAAUUGGUGACUUGUAUGAAAGAUUGGAUGAAAAAUAUACUGUCUCUUAAUUAAUAUAUAGAAUUUAAUUUUUUAUUUAAAAAGUUAAAAUAAUUUAAAAAGACGAGAAGACCCUAUAGAGUUUAAUAAAUUAUUUUAUGAAAGUUUUAUUUAUAUUUACUAAUAAUUUUAUAAAUUUAUUUAUUUUGUUGGGGUGAUAAAAAAAUAAAUUUAACUUUUUUUAAAUAAUUUACAUGAAUAAGUGAUUAAU
RNAcentral lists this ribosomal RNA (1050 nucleotides) under Biston falcata. RNAcentral describes it as "partial 16S ribosomal RNA". Lineage: Eukaryota; Metazoa; Arthropoda; Insecta; Lepidoptera; Geometridae. The record is from RNAcentral.